CACAGAAAUAGCAGCAGUCAUGCUGCAUGGAGCUCCCCUCAGCUGUCAGAGCGAGCUUCACAGCUGCUCUCACAGACAGACACACAAAGAUGGAGGCUGAGAUAUGGAAGAGCCGGGUGGGGAAAGGAAAGACAAGGCUAGCAAAGAGAAAUCAGGUUUUUGUGUGAUGCUUUUCCACCGUGGGGACAGGAAGCACGGUGAUACAAUGCUAUAGAGCCGCUGUACAAAAACCUCCUCCAUUUAACACGCUUAGUGUGGAGCACUGCAAGUUACCUUGGCUACCUGUCACAGAUUGAAACAUCAAUACUCUGAAAACAUGAAGGAUGCCUUGCUUUUCUGACAUUUUACAAAACAAUUAUUUCAAUUGGGAAACUUGUUUGGAAUUUUUUUUAAGAAAAGCAGAAUUUGGAGGAAAACAUUUUGGGGGAAACACAGCGAACUUGGAUGUUGGAUAUUUCUUUUGCUGAAACUUCAGUAAUAUCAUGUAUUGUUCAAAUGUUCAGUUAUAGGCAGUGACUUUUUGGUAGAGGAUGCAGUCAGAGUGACACUGGAGCUGAAGCUUUCUUUGGAUCUGGAAUUAAACUCACUGUUCUGGAUUCAAAUCCUACUAUGACCCUGCCAACAGUGAAAGUGCUUCAACCUUCACAAAAGGAGUGUCAAAACAACAAAGACAAGAAAAACAAGAAGACCUUGGUGUGUGUGGCCUCUCGUUUCUACCCGGACCACGUGAGUGUGUCCUGGCAGAUCGAUGAGGUUAACAUCACGAGUGGUGUGGCGACCGACAACGCUGCCCUGUGGGAGGGGGAACAUUACAGCAUCAGCAGCCGGCUGAGGGUCCCGCUCAGUGAGUGGUUUACACCUGGCAGGAAGUUCACCUGCACAGUCAGCUUCUUCACUGGGAACGACACUGUGCACCGGUCAAGUUGGGUCGAAGGAGUUGAAGGACCAGGAGCCCGGAGCGAUAAGAGAGAAAUAUUUGAGGAUCACACACAAUGCCAAGCUGUUCUACAUUCUUUUGAUCGUCAAGAGCAGCAUCUUCGGAGUCUUCGUGGUGUUUCUGGUGUGGAGGCUUCAGGUUCGUUCAACAUGAGUCGUCAUGGUGACCCUGUAACAAAGAAACCCCAGUGGAAGUAUUGUAGUAAAUGUUCAAUUAAAGCUGCCUGUAAGACACGCAGUAUGCAACAUUGCUGGCUUCACCUAUCUGUUAAAAUGAUGGCUUUUUGUCGGAUAAAAGUGUCCGUUAUGUAAAAGUUAGUUAUGGCAAUAUGCAGAUAUGACAAGACUGCUACAGUAAGAGUCAUAAGGCAAGGCAAGUGAAUUUAUAUAGCACAUUACAGCAACAAGGCAAGAGGAAACAUUAUAAAAAAGUCAUUAAAACAAUUAAAAACAGUCAUUAAAGAGCCAAGAGAAUACAAAAUAAAGUUACAGUGCAGUGUAAGAAAUAAUAAUAAUUUGAUUUAAUAAAAGGCAGCAGCAAACAGAAGUACCUGCGGUGUUGCUCCUCAGCAACUUAAUAUUAGCCGAUUUACAAUGUUCUGUAGUUUAUUAAACAUUUCUUUGUGCACAAGAGAUGAUAAGUAAGUAAUCAGUUAGUGAUUUAAAGAACAAGACCUUUGUGUAAUCUUUCUCUCUCUCUCUCUCUCUCUCUGUGUUUGCAUUCAAUGCAGACUUGUGCUGUAUGAACAGAAAUGUUACUCACGUUUAUGUAAAGGUGACUUGAGGACUUUGUCAUCACUUUACUUUACCAAGGUGCCUGUCUGAAAGGGACUUAAGUGAAGUAGGUGUUGGAAUUAAUUAAUAUAAUAAUAGUAAUCAUUUUUUUAAUAAAUCACUGAAAAUAUGUCCUCCUCUCUCUGCUGCUCAGGGGUCAACUGGAAAACAGAAGGACUGAGAGCCGAGCUGCACAAACCAGCUGAUUCUCCUCAUUUCUGUAGACAAAGAAUGUUUCAUCAGUUAAUCACAAUCUGCACAAAUUAGAGCAACUAAAAGCGUU
Non-coding RNA from Cottoperca gobio, 1993 nucleotides. The record is from the annotation of a RefSeq genome assembly. NCBI's taxonomy places the organism in Eukaryota, Metazoa, Chordata, Actinopteri, Perciformes, Bovichtidae.